This 253-nucleotide ribosomal RNA is filed under the name uncultured bacterium. RNAcentral describes it as "partial 16S ribosomal RNA". It matches the Rfam family "Bacterial small subunit ribosomal RNA", at positions 524 to 776 of the family's 1533-position model. The record is from RNAcentral.
UACGAAGGGGGCUAGCGUUGCUCGGAAUCACUGGGCGUAAAGGGUGCGUAGGCGGGUCUUUAAGUCAGGGGUGAAAUCCUGGAGCUCAACUCCAGAACUGCCUUUGAUACUGAGGAUCUUGAGUACGGGAGAGGUGAGUGGAACUGCGAGUGUAGAGGUGAAAUUCGUAGAUAUUCGCAAGAACACCAGUGGCGGAGGCGGCUCACUGGCCCGUAACUGACGCUGAGGCACGAAAGCGUGGGGAGCAAACAGG